GGGAGUGGAUGGGGCCCGGUGGCCCUUGCGGACUUCAAAUCCGUUAUGCCUCGUGAAUAGCGGGGUAGGUGGGUUCGACUCCCUCGCACUCCCGCCA
RNAcentral lists this transfer RNA (97 nucleotides) under Dehalococcoidia bacterium. RNAcentral describes it as "tRNA-Sec". It matches the Rfam family "Selenocysteine transfer RNA". Lineage: Bacteria; Bacillati; Chloroflexota; Dehalococcoidia. The record is from RNAcentral.